RNAcentral lists this ribosomal RNA (377 nucleotides) under uncultured eukaryote. RNAcentral describes it as "partial 18S ribosomal RNA". It matches the Rfam family "Eukaryotic small subunit ribosomal RNA", at positions 592 to 976 of the family's 1831-position model. The record is from RNAcentral.
CAAUAGUGUAUAUUAAAGUUGUUGCAGUUAAAAAGCUCGUAGUUGGAUUUCGGGGCAGCCUGGCUGGUCUGCCGCAAGGCGAGUACUGGUCAGCCGCCCUUCCUCUCGAAAGCCCCGACUGCUCUUCGUUGCAGUGGUCGGGUAGUUCGGGACGUUUACUUUGAAAAAAUUAGAGUGUUCAAGGCAGGCCUACGCCUGAAUACAUUAGCAUGGAAUAAUGGAAGAGGACCUCGGUCCUAUUUUGUUGGUUUCCAGGGCCGAAGUAAUGAUUAAGAGGGACAGUUGGGGGCAUUCGUAUUUAAUUGUCAGAGGUGAAAUUCUCGGAUUUAUGAAAGACGAACAACUGCGAAAGCAUUUGCCAAGGAUGUUUUCAUUAA